Molecule: ribosomal RNA, 497 nt
Filed under: uncultured bacterium
Lineage: Bacteria
Description: partial 16S ribosomal RNA
Rfam family: Bacterial small subunit ribosomal RNA
Source: RNAcentral
GAUGAACGCUGGCGGCGUGCCUAAUACAUGCAAGUCGAGCGAACGGACGAGAAGCUUGCUUCUCUGAUGUUAGCGGCGGACGGGUGAGUAACACGUGGAUAACCUACCUAUAAGACUGGGAUAACUUCGGGAAACCGUAGCUAAUACCGGAUAAUAUUUUGAACCGCAUGGUUCAAAAGUGAAAGACGGUCUUGCUGUCACUUAUAGAUGGAUCCGCGCUGCAUUAGCUAGUUGGUAAGGUAACGGCUUACCAAGGCAACGAUGCAUAGCCGACCUGAGAGGGUGAUCGACCACACUGGAACUGAGACACGGUCCAGACUCCUACGGGAGGCAGCAGUAGGGAAUCUUCCGCAAAGGGCGAAAGCCUGACGGAGCAACGCCGCGUGAGUGAUGAAGGUCUUCGGAUCGUAAAACUCUGUUAUUAGGGAAGAACAUAUGUGUAAGUAACUGUGCACAUCUUGACGGUACCUAAUCAGAAAGCCACGGCUAACUACGUG